Myiozetetes cayanensis is the source of this 1034-nucleotide long non-coding RNA. RefSeq lists it as uncharacterized. The record is from RefSeq and is a predicted model, not a curated record. NCBI's taxonomy places the organism in Eukaryota, Metazoa, Chordata, Aves, Passeriformes, Tyrannidae. The transcript has 4 exons.
AUGGGUGAUGGGUGAUGGUGCCGCCGCUCGGUGUGUCACCGGGAGGGCUCUCCGGCACAGCGGGGGCUAGAGGGGACCUAACGCAUCAAGGCGUCCGCCUGCUUAUUUCUGUCAUUAACUGCCGUUGCAUAAUCCGUCAAAUCUGUUCUGCUCCUGGGUGAGCAUCGCUGCCAAUCCUGUCGCCACCGCUCAGCCCAGUAAUUGCAAUACAGCCCUCAAGCAAGCCAGACAUAACUCUCAGCUGCGACAUUAGAGGACAAGGAAUCCUUCACUUUACUCCUAGCGCUGCUUAGAGAGGAAAUUGAGGUUUUCUCUUUUUUUACGUGAGAUUUUCUGACUGUGAAUUGGGCACCUAUACAAGUUCAUACUCUGCAUAUUGAGACGUGUCUGCAGACAUGAGAAUGGAAAAAACUCUGGCUGAAAGAAUGGGAUUGAUCCUGAUUUCUAAACAUCAUGAUUUUGUGAAGUACUAAACAUAUCCAACUUUCUGGGAGACUGCAAAGCAGUUGAUUCUGAGUGGAUAAAUGGUCCAAACAUCUAUCAAGAAUUUCCUCAGAUUUUUCUUAAGUAGACUCACUCAUUGUCAGAAACUCUUCAGUGUCAAAACCUUGAAUUUAAGACGAAAAUUCUUCUCUGCAUUCUACAGUUACUUGAGAUACUUGUAUGCAGAGGCAAGAAGACUUUGUUUGCAUUGACUUGUAUUUGGAACACUACUUUCAAAAUAUUGUCCUUAUCCUAUGAAAGACAAAGUUCUGCGAAAAUAGUGGUCUGUCCUCUCCCUUCCUUGGAAAGCUUUCUCUUCCUCAAUGGAAACUAACAAAGUGUAUUAUAUCAUACUCCCUGUGCUCUCUGAUGCUGGAAAAUCCUAGAAUAUGUUCAUCUGUAUUAUUUUACAUUCUUUUAAAUAUUCUUCUAGAGCCUCUUUGAUGUUUUUCUUAAAACCUUCUUACUUUAUUUUAAAUUGUUCCAAAAAAAGAUGUCAUGGAAGUUAUACGUCCUGAUGUGACUUCAAAUUACUGUUCCUAAUAUUUGAA